This 422-nucleotide ribosomal RNA is filed under the name uncultured prokaryote. RNAcentral describes it as "bacterial SSU rRNA". It matches the Rfam family "Bacterial small subunit ribosomal RNA", at positions 338 to 774 of the family's 1533-position model. The record is from RNAcentral.
CCUACGGGGGGCAGCAAUUAGGAAUCUUGCGCAAUGGGCGAAAGCCUGACGCAGCGACGUCGCGUGACUGAUGAAGUCUUUCGGGAUGUAAAAGUCUUUUCUGAGGGAAGAAGGAUGUGACGGUACCUCAGGAAUAAGCCCCGGCUAACUACGUGCCAGCAGCCGCGGUAAUACGUAGGGGGCGAGCGUUGUCCGAAUUCACUGGGCGUAAAGCGCGCGUAGGCGGACUUUUAAGUUGGGGGUGAAAUGCCGGAGCUCAACUCCGGAACUGCCUCCAAAACUGGAAGUCUUGAGGUUUGGAGAGGGAAUUGGAAUUCCAGGUGUAGCGGUGAAAUGCGUAGAUAUCUGGAGGAACACCGAUGGCGAAGGCAGAUUCCUGGCCAUAUCCUGACGCUGAGGUGCGAAAGCUAGGGGAGCGAACG